GUGAGUACGGAUUAAUCGGAUUGCGUGAUCAAGAUAGAGAGUUCAGGCGCGUGUGACCGGUCAACAGGGGAUGCUUCCUCCUCCUCGGCACCUGAUGCCACAUCUAAAGUGUGUCCAGUGGAGUUAUGAGAUUUAUCACUGUUCGUUAUCUUCACCUUACAUUUACAAAUUAAAAGUCAGCAAGAAUACAGCGAUGUAAGACCUCAAUUGUGCACGAGAAAAAAUAACAUGAGCCACGAAUCGAACGGUUUUUCUUUCAAACAAGGGUGGCUGUGUACUUGUUUGUGUCCCAUUUCCACAGAGAGCAGGGAAGAAUACACAGUGCACAGUGUAAUAGGGAAGAUCAGGAAACUCCAGUUCACUCUUGUAUCAUCACGUGGAUGUCAAAGACUGCCAUAACCAUCUAGAAAAAG
Long non-coding RNA from Ostrea edulis (European flat oyster), 413 nucleotides. RefSeq lists it as uncharacterized. The record is from RefSeq and is a predicted model, not a curated record. The transcript is spliced from 3 exons. NCBI's taxonomy places the organism in Eukaryota, Metazoa, Mollusca, Bivalvia, Ostreida, Ostreidae.